AAUCCGUCGAAUUUUGAAAUCGUGAGGGUUCAAGUCCUUAUCCC
RNAcentral lists this transfer RNA (44 nucleotides) under Stanhopea pulla. RNAcentral describes it as "partial tRNA-Leu". The record is from RNAcentral. Lineage: Eukaryota; Viridiplantae; Streptophyta; Magnoliopsida; Asparagales; Orchidaceae.